CGUCAACUAACCCCUGAGCCACAGACUCGGAUUGGCUGAAGCGCUGUCAACUUUGCACUGGGACAGUAAAGGCUCAGCUGUCGCACAUUAUUCCAUUGCCCUCGACCCAUGACAAGUAAACAGUGACCAAAGUUAAAGCGCUUUGAAGAGGGCUGACAUGGCACACUGUUCCUUUACACAUGGAGGUUAGCUGAUCACAAAUCACCAAACCGAGGAGACAGAGACUCAGGAGAGGCGAAGGUCAAGAGCCACGCGUCCUCCGAAACACGACCUAACCCAGCCGCACUGCUUCUUGACCAAAUGCCCACUUAACCAGCCACAGUGUCCUCCACAGUGUUGGAGGAAACACCGUACACCUGGCGAUCACGUCAGAAUGCAUGCACCCGACCUGCCACAGGAGUCGCCAGAGUGCGAUGGGACAAGGACAUCCCUGCCAGCCAAACCCUCUCCUAACUCCAACUCCUUGCCUUUCCGAGUGAAUUGUUGCAUUACCUCCAAUUACUGUAGUUGUUAGUGACAGAGAAACAUUGUUUAAUUCGUUCCUGCUGUAGGAGAAUGUUAUCAUUACAAUUAUACUCUUUAAUUGUAAACUGACAGUGUUAUUGUAACACCUCAAACAACACUAUAAAUGUUACACUGACAAAUUAACACUAGGUAACACUGGCCAAAAUGCUGUGUGUGUUCCACAGUUUCCCAUCCUAUAUGAGGUCUGUAGAUGACGUUAUUGGGAAGUUAAUGAUUAACUUGGAUGAUGUUACCUCAUCGUUGGGUGUACUCCAGUUGAUCCCUUUGUGUUUGCUUUCCCUCCACAAGCUUAUGUGUAAUUAUUGACCUGAAGGAGACAGCCAGCACAGCCAACGUUGUUUAUUUGACAUGUAUUGCAAAGCAUUCUUUCUGAAAAAUUUGAGUUAAAAUAAUUUACUCUGUUUGAGACUUCUGGUCAUUUUUUAAAAGUCAUGUUUCAUUACUCCUGGGCUACUACAGCACCAAACGUUUCAUCUAUAUUUUGGAUAGCAUUAUCCCGACCCUAUUUUGUUAUUCUUCUCCUAGUUAGUGUAUGAACCUGUUCCAAUGCAGUAGUAAUUGGUCAGUAGUGUUGGAGCCAGCUCUAGUCCCUGUGGUGGUACCCUACCCUACAGUACCCACUACACAGCAUCCUCCCUCUGUCCUCCUCGUGCCCCCUGCUCUCCCCAAUACGGGCUGUUUCCAUGGAAACCUAGCAAUCUGCUCCAGUCAGUCCCACCUGUUUCCUACUUCUUCUCUUCUGUUCGUCAGAGUUUUAGAAAUAAAAACAGUCUCCCACUGGCUAUUUUAGGUAGUUAGGGCUUUUUAUUCGAAAUCUCUGAGGGUUUCUAAAUGCAGGAUGGAGGAGACUAGUUGUGCAGGGUAGGCAAUAUCAAUGUGGUUUACUAUGUUCAGUAAGUAUUCUGCAUUGUCAUGUUGGAUGGAUGAGGAUGCUGAGGUUGGGGCUCCCCUUCUCUCCUCUCUUCCCUCCCUUUCAGUCUAGACAGACAAAAGAGAAUGAGAAGUGAGCUGUGAUGCAAUGAUGGUGUUUGUACCUCUACAGAUCUAACCUGCACACCCCUCCUCUCCCUGCUGGUACCUCUCUCCUGCUCAAUACUACACCCCUCCUCUCCCUGCUGGUACCUCUCUCCUGCUCAAUACUACACCCCUCCUCUCCCUGCUGGUACCUCUCUCCUCUCCCCACCCCUCCGCUACUCCUCUCCUCCCCUCUUCACCCCUCCCCUCCUCUCCCCUCACAGCCUCGUCCUUGUUGUCCGCACGAGAGAACGAUAGAGAAUGAGGGAGGGAGGGGGAGAGAGAGAGUGAGAAAGGGAGGAAGAAAAAGGGAGCUAGGGAGGGCGGGCUCGGGCGCCAUUAGACAUAUGCAGCGGUCAGUGUGUGUUGCGCUCAACAGCAGCAACACAGAGAGGAUAGGAUCACAUGUCAUCCUGCUCUCUAGUACUGCACUGUCUGAAGGACUCCACUGACAUAGCCAUGCUAUGGGGAUGUCAUAAGGCAUGGUAAGGAUGACACAGGGAUGCUAAUAUCCUUGGUCCAGUGAGGCUACACUAGCUGCUAGCUAAGGUGAGGAAAUCAAAUCUACCUUUGUAUUGGUCUUGGGAGAGAGGAGGGGGCGUGUGUGGAUCUUUGUUUACAUGCAUUGCAUGUGAUGUGUUUUGUACUAUGUGUUGUUGUGUGUGCUUUACUUGUAUCUCUUCUUAUAUGUUAAGAGACGGUAGAGGCAUUAGUGAGCACAAGAUGUUGAAAUACAUAUUUUCAACCAAAUAUACAUUUUCUAUGUCUUUUCAAUGUCUUUUGCUCAGUGUACUGUAGUUUCCAGUGUCCCAGUGUCCUUGUGUUAUGCAGGAGGACUCUGUUUGCUCUAGCAGUCUACAUAUAGAAGUUAGUUAGCUCUUCCAUGUUCCAGAUGCUGUGCUAGCACUGGGCACAUUGCCAACCAGCCACUGUAGAUAGAUUGACAUCAAUGUCAGAUUGCUGCCCACUUGCUGGUGUAGGAGAUGAUGGAAGAAAAUACCCCUGUUAUGUAAGAACUACACUAGGAAGACAUGCAAUGGAUGUUUGGUGCUGAUGACAGUUUCAAAUGCUCUUAUCGUGACACACUCUAUUCAAUAUGAAUCGCUGAAGUUCAGAGUUACAACGUGAUUGAAAUUUAAAGGCAAUGUUCCUGCAUUAGCGGAGACUGCAUUCACGGUAUGUCGGCUCAAUUGGAAAUACAUGAACAUUUCUAUUGUACAAUUCGUAAUGCUUCAGCGAUACAGAUUGAAUAGAGUCCUUAGUGAUGGAGAUUAAGACUGUUGGAUUCACACCUAAUUCUGUUCAUCUUUCUCUCUCAAUCUAAUUUCAAACGCAUUCUUUUAUAAAGCCUUUUUACAUCAGUAGAUGUCACAAAGAUGCCUAUACAGAAACCCAGGAGAAAACCCCAAACAACAGCUCUCUUCUCCCUCUCUUCUAUCUCUCUUUCUUCUGCUUCUAUAUUCUAUAUAGCUCUAUUAUCUCUCUUCUCACUCUCUCUUUUCUAUCUCUCUCUCAUACCUUUAUAUCAGGGUUAUUCAACUCUUACCCAACUAGUACCGGAGCCUGCUGGUUUCUGUUCUACCUGAUCAUUAAUUGCACCCACCUGAUAUCCCAGGUCUAAAUCAGUCCCUGAUUGGGAGGGGAACAAAGAAACAAUGCAAUGGAACUGGCUUCGAGGUCCAGAUUUGAGUUUCAGGGCUCUAUAUUCUAUAUCUCUCUAUUCAAUCUCUCGUCUCUUCUAUCUCAAUCUCUAUUCUAUCUCUCGUCUCUUCUAUCUCAAUCUCUAUUCAAUCCCUCGUCUCUUCUAUCUCUCGUCUCUUCUAUCUCAAUCUCUCUAUUCAAUCUCUCGUCUCUUCUAUCUCAAUCUCUCUAUUCAAUCUCUCGUCUCUUCUAUCUCAAUCUCUAUUCUAUCUUUCGUCUCUUCUAUCUCAAUCUCUCUAUUCAAUCUCUCGUCUCUUCUAUCUCAAUCUCUCUAUUCAAUCUCUCGUCUCUUCUAUCUCAAUCUCUCUAUUCUAUCUCUCGUCUCUUCUAUCUCAAUCUCUCUAUUCAAUCUCUCGUCUCUUCUAUCUCAAUCUCUCUAUUCAAUCUCUCGUCUCUUCUAUCUCUCAUCUCUUCUAUCUCAAUUGCUCUAUUCAAUCUCUUGUCUCUUCUAUCUCAAUCUCUAUUCUAUCUCUCGUCUCUUCUAUCUCAAUCUCUCUAUUCUAUCUCAAUCUCUCUAUUCAAUCUCUCGUCUCUUCUAUCUCAAUCUCUCUAUUCUAUCUCUCGUCUCUUCUAUCUCAAUUUCUCUAUUCAAUCUCUUGUCUCUUCUAUCUCAAUCUCUAUUCUAUCUCUCGUCUCUUCUAUCUCUCGUCUCUUCUAUCUCAAUCUCUCUAUUCAAUCUCUCGUCUCUUCUAUCUCAAUUUCUCUAUUCAAUCUCUCGUCUCUUCUAUCUCAAUCUCUCUAUUCAAUCUCUUGUCUCUUCUAUCUCAAUCUCUAUUCUAUCUCUCGUCUCUUCUAACUCAAUCUCUCUAUUCAAUCUCUCGUCUCUUCUAUCUCUCGUCUCUUCUAUCUCAAUCUCUCUAUUCAAUCUCUCGUCUCUUCUAUCUCAAUCUCUCUAUUCAAUCUCUCGUCUCUUCUAGAAAGAAACAAUGCAAUGGAACU
This is a long non-coding RNA of Oncorhynchus tshawytscha (Chinook salmon), 4179 nucleotides long. NCBI's taxonomy places the organism in Eukaryota, Metazoa, Chordata, Actinopteri, Salmoniformes, Salmonidae. The record is from Ensembl.